GGGAACAUGCGUAUGACAAUAUUUCUCAUCGUGUUGUCUGUGAGCUUGGCAGAUGAUACUUUUGAAAGAUGCAAAAUCUUCAAGGCAAUCAGGCAGGAUCUUGAAAUUCUUAAAAAACUCAAGAAUGAACCAAUCAGCUUUAUCUCUGCCAACUCCCAUUUGCUAGUACCAAAGCAAGAUAAUCAGUGUUCAUGUGACAUGAUGAUUAUGAAAAAUCUACAGGACCAGCUACAGAAAGUGAAUAAAACCAAACUUUCUGAACAACACAAGGCAGUUGUGGAAAUGAUUAAAAUAAAUCUAAGUCUUCUGCCACUUUCCACGGCGAAGGGAGACUGCAUGGUCCCAUGGCGGCUCAGGAACACAUGGAGUUUUUUAAACCCUUACCACAGGUACAUCCUGAGAUGUCACCAAAUGCGAUGUAAUCACUCUUAAUGGGAAUAGCUGCUCCAUAGACAAUUCAUUAUUAUUCUUAUCCUAACUUAUU
Molecule: long non-coding RNA, 484 nt
Organism: Electrophorus electricus (electric eel)
Lineage: Eukaryota; Metazoa; Chordata; Actinopteri; Gymnotiformes; Gymnotidae
Source: RefSeq, a predicted model, not a curated record